AGAGUUUGAUCCUGGCUCAGAUUGAACGCUGGCGGCAGGCCUAACACAUGCAAGUCGAACGGUAACAGGAAGCAGCUUGCUGCUUUGCUGACGAGUGGCGGACGGGUGAGUAAUGUCUGGGAAACUGCCCGAUGGAGGGGGAUAACUACUGGAAACGGUAGCUAAUACCGCAUAACGUCGCAAGACCAAAGAGGGGGACCUUCGGGCCUCUUGCCAUCGGAUGUGCCCAGAUGGGAUUAGCUAGUUGGUGAGGUAACGGCUUACCAAGGCGACGAUCCGUAGCGGGUCUGGGAGGAUGAUCCGCCACACUGGGACUGAGACACGGCCCAGACUCCUACGGGAGGCAGCAGUGGGGAAUUUUGGACAAUGGGGGCAACCCUGAUCCAGCCAUGCCGCGUGAGUGAAGAAGGCCUUCGGGUUGUAAAGCUCUUUCAGACGGAAAGAAAUCGGGUGGGUGAAUAUCCUGCCUGGAUGACGGUACUGUCAGAAGAAGCACCGGCUAACUACGUGCCAGCAGCCGCGGUAAUA
This 528-nucleotide ribosomal RNA is filed under the name uncultured bacterium. Its description in RNAcentral is "bacterial SSU rRNA". It matches the Rfam family "Bacterial small subunit ribosomal RNA", at positions 8 to 525 of the family's 1533-position model. The record is from RNAcentral.